ACUUGGAGCAUGUCCCAGCGCCGUCAAAGGGACUUGAAUUUCCCCCGUGAUGGGCCGGGAAUGGGACCCAACGCCCGUCGAGUUCAGAGGCCGCGAGAGCCUGGCUCAGGGCUUGCAAGGGUUGAGCUGGCGUCUCAGACUUAACUCAGUAUUCAUGUGAGUUGCCUGCUGACUCUAUACCCACCCCUUGCCUUUUCGGUGUCAGCGCCUACAUCCGCUCUAUCUCCUGUAUUUCGUCCUGCUUCCCGACUGGCAACCACAUUGCUUGAUUUCCGUGUCUCAUGACUCUCCUGACUGAUUUGUUCGUUGAGUUAAACAUUUACGGAGCUCCUACCGUGCGCCAGCAAUGGUGCUUGGCAAAGCGAAGUAAACAGCUGUCCAAAUGAUAACCGAAGGCGCAUUUCGGUUGAUUGCCAUAGAGUUUCUGACUACACAGAUAGAGGACCUGAAAAAGAGAGAGAGAAAAGGAUAAUUUCAUCUCUUGGUUUCCAAUAAUUAAACUCAUUUUUUCAUUGUCUCUUUGGUUAAAAACUACCAGAACAACAUUGAAUAAUAUGGUGAGAGGGUACACAUUUUACACGGUUGUGUCAGAUUUUUAAAAUGUUCUGAUUUUAUUUUUUCAAGUUUU
Long non-coding RNA from Lynx canadensis (Canada lynx), 628 nucleotides. RefSeq lists it as uncharacterized. The transcript has 3 exons. The record is from RefSeq and is a predicted model, not a curated record. Lineage: Eukaryota; Metazoa; Chordata; Mammalia; Carnivora; Felidae.